GAACGCACCUUGCGCCCUUUGGCCAUUCCGAAGGGCAUGCCUGUUUGAGUAUCAUGAACACCUCAACUCUCAUGGCUUGCCAUGAUGAGCUUGGACUUUGGGGGUCUUGCUGGCCUGUGGUCGGCUCCUCUCAAACGAAUCAGCUUGCCAGUGUUUGGUGGCAUCACAGGUGUGAUAACUAUCUGCGCUUGUGGUUUCCAUCAGAUAACCUCCGGUGAUGGAGGUUCGCUGGAGCUCAUAAAUGUCUCUCCUAAGUGAGGACAGCUCUUUUAACGUUUGAUCUCAAAUCAGGUAGGACUACCCGCUGAACUUAAG
This 315-nucleotide unclassified non-coding RNA is filed under the name uncultured Thelephoraceae. Its description in RNAcentral is "sequence contains 5.8S rRNA gene". Lineage: Eukaryota; Fungi; Basidiomycota; Agaricomycetes; Thelephorales; Thelephoraceae. The record is from RNAcentral.